Molecule: unclassified non-coding RNA, 223 nt
Filed under: Hevea brasiliensis (rubber tree)
Lineage: Eukaryota; Viridiplantae; Streptophyta; Magnoliopsida; Malpighiales; Euphorbiaceae
Source: RNAcentral
UGCUGAAGCAUAUAAUAAUCUUGGUUUUUCUCUUACUUGUGCACUCUCUCGCGCACACAAUAGUUUCCAAUUGUUGUUGAUUUAUGUUAUUUUGCUUUUAUUCGUCUGAGUUCAAGUUUUCUUGACUAAAAAUAAUUCUCUCAUGCCUACCCCUCUUUUCUUUUUCCCUGAAUAUCAUUCUGUAUAUACUCUAUAUGUAGGGGUCCUUUACAGAGAUGCUGGA